Molecule: unclassified non-coding RNA, 155 nt
Filed under: soil metagenome
Description: partial internal transcribed spacer 1
Source: RNAcentral
CCGAGUUUACAACUCCCAAACCCCUGUGAACAUACCCUAUCGUUGCCUCGGCGGGAUCAGCCCUCCCGUUGAAGCAAGCUGGACCAGGCGCCCGCCAGGAGGACCCCUAAACUCUGUUUCUAUAUGUAUCUUCUGAGUAAACCAGAAAUAAAUCA